CGUGACCUGUGUUUAUUCAGUUAAGAGCGUCACAACAUAAAAGUGACAAGUGUUUUUUUAAAAUAUUUGUGGGAAAGACCGUCCUAUAUAAGUUUAGGUCGAUUUUCUGUGAAAAGUCCGAUAUCGAGUUUGGAGACUGAAGAGAAAGAAAAUACCAAGCCUAGUUCCUCCAGAAGUUUAAGUCCUUCUGCUAGUUUUAAUUCAAGAAAACAUACCACACUCGAAAAAUCUUGCCCCAAAGUCGAAAAAUCCCAACCCAACCCAGAAGAACAGGUCGUGGUAGCAGAAUUAUGUGUAGAAGCAGCUAAAGGAGGAAGAUAAAAAUGAAAUUCCUGAAACCAAAAAAAAGGGAAUUAUGCAGUUACUAGAGAAAAACAUAAUACCCGACUUUUAUCAUGGUUUCUACCAAAAUUUAUUUAAGUAGAUUAUAGAUUUUGACUGUUUUGUUAGAUGUUUUUACUUAAGAGUUAAGAAGAAAAUAACUAGGUAUAUGAGUUAAGUUUUCUUUUAAUACGUUUUAAAAAUACGUUUCUUUUUCUUUAAUACGUUUGUACUGAUGUAAGUGUAACCUAGUAUUAUAAAACUUCAAUAUUAUAAUUUUUUUAAAUAUGUUACCAAAAAUUUGAUUUAGGUUUAUUUUUCAUAAGGUUUGUUCCAAUCCAACGCGUUAGAAAACCGUCA
This 681-nucleotide long non-coding RNA is filed under the name Anthonomus grandis grandis. RNAcentral's name for it is "uncharacterized LOC126744306". The record is from RNAcentral. Lineage: Eukaryota; Metazoa; Arthropoda; Insecta; Coleoptera; Curculionidae.